UUUAAGGCAGAGCAACGCCCACAUCCACCUCACGUGACUCACUUUCCCUUCCACCUAAGCCAUCACCUGGGGAGAAGUAGAAAAGCUUGGGCUGGGCUGCUGCAGAGACUGCUGGGAAGACAACUCCUGUGGAAAGCGAAUGGCUGGUGCUGCCUUUCUGGAAGCUGUGGUUCCCAGCCUAAGCUUUCUUACUACGCUGCUCUCCAGCUCUGCCCUCCGAAUUGGAGACUUAAGGACAACAGAGCUCUGAAGAUGGUUAGUGUCAUCUAAACACAAUGAAGCUGCUGACUCGAUUUAAAUACACAUUGAAAUUUGGGAAAUAGAGAAAAAGAAAGCCAUCAAUGAUCCUUCAGGUAGAAUCUUUGGACAGUUUUCUGGAGAAAAUGGAUUUGGAUCAAAGGAGACGUCAGAACCAUGUAGUUGCUACUGAACCGUACAUUUGAAGGAGCCCCAUCAGAUUGUGCAUUUCUGACUUUACUCCUUUUCUCAUGUGAACUGCAAAACUAAAGAGGAACAUAAGAAACAAAAAGGAGAAAAAUUAUCAAAUGAUUGUAAAAGAAUAAAGAGAGUUAAACAAUGCAAAUUUCUGAUGUGUUAACAUUAAGAGAAAGAUGAAGAACAGCUUAAUAAUCAUAUUCAGAUAUUGGAAUACAGACAAGAAAAAGAUUAAGUCAUUCUUGUUUUCACUCUGAGACAAAUAAGAGAACGUGGGCCACAAGACGACAUGUUUGAAAUUCCGAUUCUUGUUCACCCGCUUUUCAAUCUACUGCUUCUGCCCCGCCAGGCUGCCUCGAGUUCUGGAAGGGUCACUUCAUUCCCUCACAGCACGUGGACCUCCAAUGCAGAUGUGCUGCUAUGACGCCUAGGGAAACAGAGUUUUACAACAAACUAGAACUGUAGGAGUGACUCCAAUGUUCAAGGUGGGUAGUUUUCAGAGAAGAGCUGCUGAAGAGACAACCCAGUAUGGAUGCACCACAAUGUUUAUUCUUGCAACGACUUCUGAAUUACUUGAGAUAACUUGACAAGUUUUUGUUCCUUGCAAACAGAAGAAUCAAGCAACCGUAGGCAUUAAACUUGAGAUACUACAUGUGGUGGUAAAGAUAGGUCUUCAUAUUGAUCAAGGAAUUAUACAGAGCUUCUCCAGCCUAUAGCCUCAGUUGCCCAAAUCCAUUGUUCACAUGUUUUCAACUUGAAGAUUCCAAGAGUUCCAGAGCAUAUCACAAGUGUCUGAAUAUCUGGUUCCAGCUUUGAGAGUGUUGUUUUCUCCUUUCCUUCUGAAUGAGAAGAAAGACUAUAUCCAAAACAGCAGCCAGAGGACGGGGUGAAUCUUGAAGCCACUCCCUCCACCUCACACUCAUUCUUGUGUCUAGUUGUUUAUAGCAUCUGUUUGCACUUCAAAUUUGACUAUCUGUUGUCAACUUCAGCUCCACAUGAGGAAGAUAGAUUCCCCUUAAAAUUUUUCCUUACUUUUUCCUACUUGUGUAACAUCCGACUAACUGGAUAAAAAGGUCAUUUUGCUGACAGCUCAAGUAAGGACAUAAAAUGAUUUUCAGUGCAUUUCUCUUUUGAUCGACAUUUAUAUUUGGUUGUAAUAUCUUGCUGCUUCUUCAUAUAGUUCCGCCAGGCACUCUCCCUGUGUCACCUUCAGGACUGUCCUAGGUGUCAUUUCUUCUAGAACUCCUUCUGGAACUGUCACUGCACAGGAUAUUCUUUCAAUACUUUUCUUCUCAUCCACGGAGCCUCUGCCCUGGCAAUCUAUCCUCAUCUCCAUGGUCAAAGGCGUUUUAGCACAUACCACACCCACUCCCAGCCCCUGGAAAUUUAUAUCCGUCUUCCCUUCCCACCAUACAUCAAGUCCCAGGUCCUUAUUUUAUACAUCAAAAUACUCCUGCUAAGUAAUAUGUAUUUCUUCUUCUUUUUCUAUUUUUAAAUCCAAUUUUCUGAACUUAUUCCCUGGAAGCCUAAUGUCAGUUUGUCUUUACUCCCAUCUUUGAGUUUUUUCCCCUUUCAAAGCAAUGCCUGAAAUUAUUUUCCUCUAAUGGCUGCCAAAAUCUCUGACUUUCUCUCUCUCUCUCUCCUUAAAUAGUGUCUAACUAUAUUUCACUUAUUUCAGAAAAUCUUUCUGGAUUGAUCAUUAAGGAGUUAACAAUGUUGCUUAGUUUAUUAUGCGUGUGGCUAUUUCUCCCAUUUUCCCCCUUUCUUUAGAUUUACCUUCUUGAUAAAUGUUAUGCUUUAUUUUGAUAUAGUGUACUUUUAUCAUUGUCUUUCAUAUGGUGGCCACACAUUUUCACUCUCCUCCUGAUACACAUAUAUCAGUAAGAAUUCUUGGUUUUAAGCAACAGAAAACACUUCCGAAUUAAGUCCAAAGUGAAAUUUUUGAUGGAUAUGGAGUAACUCUCAGAACCAACAACAAAAUUCUGGCUGGAGAUAGUGACAGAUACCAACAGAGGUAGGACAGCAGAAGAUAUGGCCACAUUCACAGCCGAAUAAAAGUUUGGUCAGAAUAUUUGCAUAGUCAUAGAAGGAUCUAGCAACCGGACUCUCCCUGACUCCACUGUGAAUUACUUCUAAAUUUUGCCCAAAUCUUCAGCUCCCCACCAAGAUUCCUAAUGUGAACACCAAUUAUCUGAGCAUAUGUUAGGUAUAAUCAAAUAGAACUUCAAUUGCACAAGGGUAAGGAGAAGCACCAUCAGACUCCUUGGCUUUCUGUUUUGGAAUUCAGAACACUGCCUCCUACGCACAGUGAUGGAGGAUUCCUCCUAAAUUGCAAGAAUGCUCAAAUAUUGGUGGUUAAAAAUCCACUGUUAAAGGGAUAUACACAUUACAGUAGCUUUCCACCUUUUGGUCACUACUUUAGAUUAUAGCCUAGGAAAUAGGAAACAUAUCUGUAUUAUUCUUAUAUGCUAUCAUCCCAGUUUUUAGGCAUGAUUUUAUGCUUUUGGACAAUGCUAUUAACAUGAUUCUUGCUUCAGUAUGAAUGCCUUUUUUAUAAGGUAAGAGUAAAUUUUCCUCUGUGAUUUAGCAUUUAACAGUGUUAUAUGUGCUAAAAUAAUAAAAUAAUUUUGCCUUGUUUUAAGUAGCAUGUGUGUAUGCUGAAAAUAUCUUUGGCUUCAAACAUUUGUCUUACCUUUGGUGUCUGAUUGAUUAGAAGCUCAAAACAAAACUUGUAAGUUUAUGUGUCUUGUAUAUUAACUUAAUUACCUGGUUCUAAUGUGCAAUCUGCUAGAUUUUAUUGGCAAGGUUUAUCACAACUUCUAAUGAGUCACAUCUUGCACCAAGCCACACUUCAAAAAGAAAGGAACCACAUAAUUAAAUCAGGUUUACUCCACUUAAACACAUUACACUGAUUAGAUGCUUUGGUUUAAUUUGCUGCGAAAAGAUAGGAAGUUUUAAAUUGUAUUAGUUAUUUCCAUUGUGCUUUACAUCUAUUUGAAGUAUGAAUCUAUUCGGGCUACGGAAGAGGAACUUAGCAUGUCUUUUCAGCAAAAUACAUGAAAAUUUUCAUCAGAUGGAAAUUGAGUGCAUAUAUGUGUGUAUGUGCAUUCUUAAACCCUGGGAUUAUUGAACCCUCAGAUAUUUAAUUCAAAAUAUUGUAUGUAUACCUCUAUGUUCAUUAGAUUCUCAAAGAGACUGUGACCAGAAAGA
Molecule: long non-coding RNA, 3645 nt
Filed under: Equus caballus (horse)
Lineage: Eukaryota; Metazoa; Chordata; Mammalia; Perissodactyla; Equidae
Description: lncRNA (ENSECAG00000039037.3)
Source: RNAcentral